This 229-nucleotide ribosomal RNA is filed under the name uncultured bacterium. RNAcentral's name for it is "partial 16S ribosomal RNA". It matches the Rfam family "Bacterial small subunit ribosomal RNA", at positions 568 to 796 of the family's 1533-position model. The record is from RNAcentral.
UGCGUAGGCGGCAUUAUAAGUCAGAGGUGAAAGCUUGCAGCUUAACUGUGAAAUUGCCUUUGAUACUGUAGUGCUUGAAUUAGGCUGAGGUUAGCGGAAUGUGUCAUGUAGCGGUGAAAUGCAUAGAUAUGACAUAGAACACCCAUUGCGAAGGCAGCUAACUAGACCUAUAUUGACGCUGAGGCACGAAAGCGUGGGGAGCGAACAGGAUUAGAUACCCUGGUAGUCC